This 600-nucleotide ribosomal RNA is filed under the name uncultured Actinomycetes bacterium. Its description in RNAcentral is "bacterial SSU rRNA". It matches the Rfam family "Bacterial small subunit ribosomal RNA", at positions 252 to 866 of the family's 1533-position model. The record is from RNAcentral. Lineage: Bacteria; Bacillati; Actinomycetota; Actinomycetes.
GUGAGGUAAUGGCUCACCAAGGCAUCGACGGGUAGCUGGUCUGAGAGGACGAUCAGCCACACUGGGACUGAGACACGGCCCAGACUCCUACGGGAGGCAGCAGUGGGGAAUAUUGCGCAAUGGGGGAAACCCUGACGCAGCAACGCCGCGUGUGGGAUGACAGCUUUCGGGUUGUAAACCACUUUCAGUGACGACGAAAAUGACGGUAGUCACAGAAGAAGGUCCGGCCAACUACGUGCCAGCAGCCGCGGUAACACGUAGGGACCAAGCGUUGUCCGGAUUUAUUGGGCGUAAAGAGCUCGUAGGCGGUUCCGUAAGUCGGAUGUGAAAACUCAGGGCUCAACCCUGAGACGCCAUCUGAUACUGCGGUGACUAGAGUCCGGUAGAGGAGCAUGGAAUUCCUGGUGUAGCGGUGGAAUGCGCAGAUAUCAGGAGGAACACCAACGGCGAAGGCAGUGCUCUGGGCCGGUACUGACGCUGAGGAGCGAAAGCAUGGGGAGCGAACAGGAUUAGAUACCCUGGUAGUCCAUGCCGUAAACGUUGGGCACUAGGUGUGGGUCUCAUCCAACGAGAUCCGUGCCGUAGCUAACGCAUUAAGUG